Carica papaya (papaya) is the source of this 290-nucleotide non-coding RNA. Lineage: Eukaryota; Viridiplantae; Streptophyta; Magnoliopsida; Brassicales; Caricaceae. The record is from RefSeq and is a predicted model, not a curated record.
GAGUUUCCGUUAUCCAUUAUCUUUCUGUCUUUGAGGAAACACAGAAAAAAGAAAAGCAAAAAACUCUCUAGAAAUUCUCAAGAAAAGAAAGCUAGGGUUUUUGCCAAUCUCUCCCCGUGUUUCUACCUUUGUUCAAAUUUGGGAAGCCAUGGUUUCUGAUUCGAUCGCAAACGUUUCCUCCACUCCUUCGGCUCCUAAUUCCAGGGAUUUUGGCAAGAAAAAGAGGGCCAACAGGUCUGCCAAACUCAAGCAGUGCAAGCUUGAUGCUCGUCGCGAGCAAUGGCUUGCUC